This 246-nucleotide long non-coding RNA is filed under the name Nicotiana benthamiana. Its description in RNAcentral is "long non-coding RNA (NBEN_LNC001182)". Lineage: Eukaryota; Viridiplantae; Streptophyta; Magnoliopsida; Solanales; Solanaceae. The record is from RNAcentral.
ACAACAGAUCCACAACCAUCUGGAGUUUCAGUGAUACCAAUAGCAAAUGUUAGGAGUACAGAACCACCAAUCAAGCCUGUAACUAGUCCGAUGGAGCCUGAGAAAGGAGUCCAGAUAUGCAUGCAACAACCAACACCAGCUGAUGAUCCAAAAUCUGUUACAAAGGAAGGUCCAAAAUUAGAACCACCUAAACAGUGGACUAGUCUCUUCCAGAAUAACAGACUUGCUGCAAAUGGUAUGUCCUUA